This 448-nucleotide ribosomal RNA is filed under the name uncultured bacterium. RNAcentral describes it as "partial 16S ribosomal RNA". It matches the Rfam family "Bacterial small subunit ribosomal RNA", at positions 29 to 523 of the family's 1533-position model. The record is from RNAcentral.
AACGAACGCUGGCGGCAGGCUUAACACAUGCAAGUCGAGCGCCCCGCAAGGGGAGCGGCAGACGGGUGAGUAACGCGUGGGAAUCUACCUAUCUCUACGGAACAACUCCGGGAAACUGGAGCGAAUACCGUACACGUCCUUCGGGAGAAAGAUGUAUCGGAGAUGGAUGGGCUCGCGUUGGAUUAGCUAGAUGGUGGGGUAAUGGCCUACCAAGGCGACGAUCCAUAGCUGGUCUGAGAGGAUGACCAGCCACACUGGGACUGAGACACGGCCCAGACUCCUACGGGAGGCAGCAGUGGAGAAUAUUGGACAAUGGGCGAAAGCCUGAUCCAGCCAUGCCGCGUGAGUGAUGAAGGCCCUAGGGUUGUAAGGCUCUCUCGCAGGUGAAGAUAAUGACGGUAUCCUGAGAAGAAGGCCCCGGCUAACUACGUGCCAGCCGCCGCGGUAA